This 242-nucleotide ribosomal RNA is filed under the name uncultured bacterium. Its description in RNAcentral is "partial 16S ribosomal RNA". It matches the Rfam family "Bacterial small subunit ribosomal RNA", at positions 92 to 334 of the family's 1533-position model. The record is from RNAcentral.
CGACCGGCGCACGGGUGAGGAACGCGUAUCCAACCUGCCCACCACUUGGGGAUAACCUUGCGAAAGUAAGACUAAUACCCAAUGAUAUCUCUAGAAGACAUCUGAAAGAGAUUAAAGAUUUAUCGGUGAUGGAUGGGGAUGCGUCUGAUUAGCUUGUUGGCGGGGUAACGGCCCACCAAGGCAACGAUCAGUAGGGGUUCUGAGAGGAAGGUCCCCCACAUUGGAACUGAGACACGGUCCAA